AGAAUUUGAUCUUGGUUCAGGAUGAACGCUAGCUACAGGCUUAACACAUGCAAGUCGAGGGGCAGCAUUGGAGUAGCAAUACUCAGAUGGCGACCGGCGCACGGGUGAGUAACACGUAUCCAACCUGCCGCUUACUCGGGGAUAGCCUUUCGAAAGAAAGAUUAAUACCCGAUGGUAUAAAGAGUUCGCAUGUUCUCUUUAUUAAAGAAUUUCGGUAAGCGAUGGGGAUGCGUUCCAUUAGAUAGUUGGCGGGGUAACGGCCCACCAAGUCUACGAUGGAUAGGGGUUCUGAGAGGAAGGUCCCCCACAUUGGAACUGAGACACGGUCCAAACUCCUACGGGAGGCAGCAGUGAGGAAUAUUGGUCAAUGGACGAGAGUCUGAACCAGCCAAAAGUAGCGUGAAGGAUGACUGCCCUAUGGGUUGUAAACUUCUUUUAUAAGGGAAUAAAGUGAGGGACGUGUCCCUUUUUGUAUGUACCUUAUGAAUAAGGAUCGGCUAACUCCGUGCCAGCCGCCGC
RNAcentral lists this ribosomal RNA (519 nucleotides) under uncultured bacterium. RNAcentral's name for it is "bacterial SSU rRNA". It matches the Rfam family "Bacterial small subunit ribosomal RNA", at positions 8 to 518 of the family's 1533-position model. The record is from RNAcentral.